RNAcentral lists this transfer RNA (78 nucleotides) under Desmophyllum pertusum. Its description in RNAcentral is "Lophelia pertusa tRNA". It matches the Rfam family "tRNA". From Rfam's summary of the family: Transfer RNA (tRNA) molecules are approximately 80 nucleotides in length. Their secondary structure includes four short double-helical elements and three loops (D, anti-codon, and T loops). Further hydrogen bonds mediate the characteristic L-shaped molecular structure. tRNAs have two regions of fundamental functional importance: the anti-codon, which is responsible for specific mRNA codon recognition, and the 3' end, to which the tRNAs corresponding amino acid is attached (by aminoacyl-tRNA synthetases). tRNAs cope with the degeneracy of the genetic code in two manners: having more than one tRNA (with a specific anti-codon) for a particular amino acid; and 'wobble' base-pairing, i.e. permitting non-standard base-pairing at the 3rd anti-codon position. Lineage: Eukaryota; Metazoa; Cnidaria; Anthozoa; Scleractinia; Caryophylliidae. The record is from Rfam by way of RNAcentral.
UCUCCUGUAGCUCAGUGGUGACUGGUGAGCACCCGACCGGCAUGCAGAAGGUCAUAGGUUCGACUCCCGUUGGGAGAA